CAGGCUGGUCUCAAACUCCUGAGUCGAAUGAUCCACCUGCCUCAGCCUCCCAAAGCGCUGGGAUUAGAGGCGUCAGCCACUACACCCGGCCCCAGCAGUACAAUCUGGUAACUCGAAAAAGAACUGGCACCUCAUGAAAACAGAAACGGCCAAUGAACUGAAAAGACGCUCAGCCUUAGCAGACCCAGGAGUUGGUAUGAUGAAAUAUUCAGCAUUGUAAACAGUGUGCACACAAACACGUAUGUCUCGACUGAGUACUUAUUCAGCAUGCCUGGCUGGUGAGAGAAUAGCAGCCUUUGGAAAGCAGAGGGUGAUCUUCGAUAAGAGGCUGGACCACUUGCUGGAAAACCUUCAAAACAGGAAGCGGCCACUAGACUCAAGUCACAUUCCUGCUGGAGGCUGGACGUGAUCCCCCAGAGUCCGACAGUCUUAGUCAACACUCAAGUGAAGGGCAGCCAGACUUGCCGGCGGAAUGAAUCUGGCUCAGGUGACUAAAGAAGGGGCCAUGCUAUUUGCCAAGACACAGCUACAGGAAGAGGAGCCAGUGGGAGGCCCUCCCAAUCCCGAAGAGAUUAAGAGUCUAGCACCUUUUAAACAUCCGAAUAGGUCUUUAAACAAACUCAACCAAUUGUCAACCAGAAAGUGUUUAAAUUCACCUAUGGCCUGGAAGUCCCACUUUGAGUUAUCCCAGCUUUCUGGACCAAACCAAUGUAUUUCUUCAAUGUAUUUGAUUGAUGUCUCAUGCCCCUGUAGAAGGUAUAAAACCCGGCCACCUUGGACACAUGUUCUCAGAACCUCCUG
Molecule: long non-coding RNA, 801 nt
Organism: Rhinopithecus roxellana (golden snub-nosed monkey)
Lineage: Eukaryota; Metazoa; Chordata; Mammalia; Primates; Cercopithecidae
Exons: 5
Source: RefSeq, a predicted model, not a curated record